RNAcentral lists this ribosomal RNA (253 nucleotides) under uncultured bacterium. RNAcentral describes it as "partial 16S ribosomal RNA". It matches the Rfam family "Bacterial small subunit ribosomal RNA", at positions 524 to 776 of the family's 1533-position model. The record is from RNAcentral.
UACAGAGGUCUCAAGCGUUGUUCGGAUUCAUUGGGCGUAAAGGGUGCGUAGGCGGUCUGUUGCGUCAGGAGUGAAAACUCGGGGCUUAACCCCGAGCCUGCUUCUGAUACGGGCAGACUAGAGGUAUGCAGGGGAGAACGGAAUUCCUGGUGUAGCGGUGAAAUGCGCAGAUAUCAGGAGGAACACCGGUGGCGAAGGCGGUUCUCUGGGCAGUAACUGACGCUGAGGAGCGAAAGCGUGGGGAGCGAACAGG